AAUUGAUAAGGGAAUUGCCCAAUUAUUUGAGACUGCUGUAAAGCUUCAACCAGGUUAUGUGACUGCCUGGAACAACCUUGGGGAUGCCUAUGAGAAAAAUAAAGACAUGAAGAAUGCUCUUAAAGCAUUUGAAGAAGUUCUACUUUUUGACCCUAACAAUAAAGUAGCACGUCCUAGGCGAGAUGCAUUGAAGGAUCAAGUAACAACGUACAAAGGAGUUUCCGUUAAGUCAAAGAAGAAAUGAGUUGGCGGGCAAGUGGACAAGUGGGAUUCUGGAUCUCAUGAAAGAGGAUGAGUUUUGUUGGUUAAUGAAUCUCUCUCUAUAUAUA
Long non-coding RNA from Ipomoea triloba (trilobed morning glory), 329 nucleotides. RefSeq lists it as uncharacterized. The record is from RefSeq and is a predicted model, not a curated record. NCBI's taxonomy places the organism in Eukaryota, Viridiplantae, Streptophyta, Magnoliopsida, Solanales, Convolvulaceae. The transcript is spliced from 2 exons.